CGUGAGCAAUCUGCCUUGGAGUGGGGAAUAACGGCUGGAAACAGCCGCUAAUACCGCAUGACGCGUCUGGGAGGCAUCUCUCUGGACGCCAAAGAUUUAUCGCUCUGAGAUGAGCUCGCGUCUGAUUAGCUAGUUGGCGGGGUAACGGCCCACCAAGGCGACGAUCAGUAGCCGGACUGAGAGGUUGGCCGGCCACGUUGGGACUGAGACACGGCCCAGACUCCUACGGGAGGCAGCAG
RNAcentral lists this ribosomal RNA (239 nucleotides) under uncultured bacterium. RNAcentral's name for it is "partial 16S ribosomal RNA". It matches the Rfam family "Bacterial small subunit ribosomal RNA", at positions 116 to 354 of the family's 1533-position model. The record is from RNAcentral.